GGAUGCGAUCAUACCAGCACUAACGCACCGGAUCCCAUCAGAACUCCGAAGUUAAGCGUGCUUGGGCGAGAGUAGUACUAGGAUGGGUGACCCCUUGGGAAGUCCUCGUGUUGCAUCCC
This 119-nucleotide ribosomal RNA is filed under the name Capsicum annuum. RNAcentral also lists the same sequence under 1 other name. The record is from RNAcentral. Lineage: Eukaryota; Viridiplantae; Streptophyta; Magnoliopsida; Solanales; Solanaceae.